RNAcentral lists this ribosomal RNA (206 nucleotides) under uncultured bacterium. Its description in RNAcentral is "partial 16S ribosomal RNA". It matches the Rfam family "Bacterial small subunit ribosomal RNA", at positions 28 to 234 of the family's 1533-position model. The record is from RNAcentral.
GACGAACGCUGGCGGCGUGCUUAACACAUGCAAGUCGAGCGGUAAGGCCCUUUCGGGGGUACGACGAGCGGCGAACGGGUGAGUAACACGUGGGUGACCUGCCCUCAGCUCUGGGAUAAGCCUGGGAAACUGGGUCUAAUACUGGAUAUGACUCCACGGUGCAUGUCGUGGGGUGGAAANCCUUGUGCGGCUGAGGAUGGGCCCGC